This is a small nucleolar RNA of Xiphias gladius (swordfish), 79 nucleotides long. RefSeq annotates it as small nucleolar RNA SNORD72. Lineage: Eukaryota; Metazoa; Chordata; Actinopteri; Istiophoriformes; Xiphiidae. The transcript has a single exon. The record is from RefSeq and is a predicted model, not a curated record.
UGCUUACCAAUGAUGGUGAAAAAAAAAAUGUCUGAACAAAUGAACUCAAAUGAUAUCAGUAUUUUCUCUGAGGUAAGCU